This 538-nucleotide ribosomal RNA is filed under the name uncultured bacterium. RNAcentral describes it as "partial 16S ribosomal RNA". The record is from RNAcentral.
GGAGUUAGCCGGUGCUUCUUCUGUGAGUGAUGUCCUUCCUGCCGGCUAUUAACCCGCAGGCCUUCUUCCUCACUGAAAGUGCUUUACAACCCGAAGGCCUUCUUCACACACGCGGCAUGGCUGGAUCAGGGUUGCCCCCAUUGUCCAAUAUUCCCCACUGCUGCCUCCCGUAGGAGUCUGGGCCGUGUCUCAGUCCCAGUGUGGCUGAUCAUCCUCUCAGACCAGCUACGGAUCGUCGCCUUGGUGAGCCGUUACCUCACCAACCAGCUAAUCCGACAUAGGCUCAUCCGAUAGCGCGAGGCCCGAAGGUCCCCCGCUUUCCCCCGUAGGGCGUAUGCGGUAUUAGCCUGGGUUUCCCCAGGUUAUCCCCCACUACCGGGCAGAUUCCUAUGCAUUACUCACCCGUCUGCCGCUCGCCACCAGGGAGCAAGCUCCCCGUGCUGCCGCUCGACUUGCAUGUGUUAGGCCUGCCGCCAGCGUUCAAUCUGAGCCAGAAUCGAACCUNACGACUGCGGCGGUCGUCGGACGACGGCGCUAG